Long non-coding RNA from Pan troglodytes (chimpanzee), 3318 nucleotides. RefSeq lists it as uncharacterized. The record is from RefSeq and is a predicted model, not a curated record. The transcript has 5 exons. Lineage: Eukaryota; Metazoa; Chordata; Mammalia; Primates; Hominidae.
ACACUCAGCCAGUGGGAGGAAAGGGAAAGAGAAAGAGAGAGCGAGGGAUCUGUGGGCCAAAGGCUGUAUUAGGAUCUAAGGCAUUCCCCAAGCAGGUUUCCCAUGGGGAGUUCUAAUUGGUGGGUUCAUCGCAAGCAUGCAUGUGGAGUUGCACAGUGACUCAGAGGUGGUCUGUGUGGUACAUCUGCAUAGUCCAUGUAGGGGGUGGAGGUCAGCAGGCAGGUGAAGUGGGUUGUAUCUAGCUCUUCCAUAGACAGGUGGUCACCAGGAGGUGGUUGCAUAAGGCAGUUAUCUGGAUUAACCACACUGAAGAACUGGGAGGAGGCAGAGAACUGGAAACUGUCAAGGGUGACUGAGGCCCGCAUCUGCCCUUCUGCCAUGUGAGAACACAGCUUUCCUCUUCUCUGGAGGACGCCAUCUUGGAAACAGACCAACUGGUCUCAUCACACAAGCAAACCUGCUGGUGUCUGGACCUUGGACUUCUCAGUUCCAGAACUAUGAGAAAUCAAUUUCUUUAUAAAUGACCCAGGCUGUGGUGUUGUGUUAUAGUGACACAAUGGACUAAGACAGGGCUCUUUCAAGUUGGCAACAUUGUCCUUUUAAUAUGCUCGUUAACAUGAUUUUUUGGUAUUUCCUUACUUUCUGGAGAAACAAUAAGUUACCACUUUCUCUUACAUUCAUUCUUCCUAACACCUCCUCUUUUUUAAAAAAAAAAUAGAAACGUUUGAAGCAUUCAUGUACAGUUGUUACCAAUGAGGAGAGGAAUGAUUAUGUACCGUGAUUUUUGUAAUAGGAAAGGUGUUAAUCUCUAAAUUAUAUCUCCUCUCAUGAAUGAAAAUUUUAGCCUCAGAAACUAUAAUUUCUAAAUGACCACAAUCCCCAAAAUCACAGGAACCAUGUCUGUUAUAUUUAUCCACACAUACCUCUGACUAGCACAACAAAGAAAUAUGUAUUGAAUGAAUGAAUGGGAAGCAAUAGAAGAAGAAAAAGUGAGAAACAGCUGACCCGAUUAUUGCCCCUAAUUGUUCCUCUAUUAUUAGUGAAGGCCUCGUGACUCAAUGUUAAAAACGUGUUCCUUUACUUCAGCGAUCCUAUUUAUUAAUAUAUUUUCUUUCUUGGAUCCUGUGUUUUGAAAGGUUUGUCCAGCAAAGUAACUGCAUUGUGCAAUGAUCUUAAGACGUUUAUCACAAGUCUAUGACUACAGACAGAUUUCCUUACAAUGUCAAUCAUCCAAAUGUCAGUACCACUGCGUACUGAAAGAAUUAAGAAUCUGCCAGAAUUUCCUUUUAAAAUAAUAUUAGAAAGAGACAACAAGAGAGUAAUUAGCACCCAUGGAUGUUGCAUGUGAAGUAACUUCUAAAUGCAUGUAGUUUUUCUCCUUUAAUUUAGGGAUUUAUAAAGAUAAUUUGAAGUGUGAAAUGGUAGAGAGAUUCAGCCAGCCCCACUAUCUUAGGCCUUACAGACGUGGAUCCUGUGUAACAUGGCACCAGACCAAGGGGGACACUUCAGCAAAGCAGAUGUAGUAGUGGAUAUAAAAUCAUGAAAAUGGGCACAUUCAGCAGCCUCAGCCUAAGAGCAUGGUGACCACUGGCUGUGACCCCCCAAGGAUGAGGGUCUGAAUAACCCUAGCAGUUUGAUCAACUUCUGGACUAUUCUCCUUUAUAUAGGAAGAACUCAGUCCUCUCUUUAUGGAACUGUGUUAUGUGGGAUUUCAUCACCUCUGCAAUGUAACCUUCAACUUAUGAUGGAUCAAGUGCUUGUAAAGAAAAGCAGAUUUAACAUGUCUCAGAUUACAAAUGCAGAACUAUAAAUGUAAAACAGCCGAGUAUGUAGGAACUUUAUGUCAUAAUUAGGAAUGGAGAGCAAAGCCUUUAUAAACCUAUUCUCAAUUAUCUACAAUUCCUUCAAAGCAGCUAUCUGGAUCCAGGCUUGGUAAAGCAUUUUUCUAGCCAAAUGAUUGUCAAUAUACACCUGCACUGUUAAAAGAUGGCGUCCCUAAAUAGCCCAUUUUCUUCUCCCUCUCCAUUUGGUACACCAGAUGUUUGGGUUUUUUAUUUGUUGAAGAGUGCAUCGAGUUCCCACAUGUCCUUUUAGAAAAAAUCAUAGCUUUUAAAAAUAAAGCUGUCUUCCUAAAUGGCAGUGGGCCACAGAUAAAGACCAACAUGUGUUGUAACUCAGAAUGUCCGUUGCUGUGGUUACAUUUUUAUGAUUUAGCUGUAAAAUACUUAAUAGAUAUGGUUCUUGAUGAUUUUUCUUUUAACUUUAAAUGACAGGUGGGUUAUUUCUGUUCUCUUAGUUUUGUUUAAAAAAGGAGGGGGGGUGGUGUAUGUGUGGAAAUUGAAAAACUUGACUUUGGUCAAUGAACUGGUCAUUGAGAAAGCUGAGAUUUGAACACCAAAAUCUGUGGUCUCCUACACCUACUUGACCCCGCUUUAAGUGAAAUCUCAACUCACUAUACAAGUUUCAACUCACUAUACUUCCCACUUCCUAUCCUCAUCCAUCUGUUACAUCUGCAUGUACAAUUAUGUUAAGCAUGCUUAUGUCACUCAAUGAACUUAUUUCCCUUUUGUCAGCUCAAGAAUUUCUUGUAUGAGAUUUUUUUGUUCAUGUUUCAACAAGUCCCCUCUUCAAAAAUUGCCGUUCCUUCCUCCAGGAGUAACAUGGAUGUUUAGGAAGUGAAGUUUAUUCCAUUUCCAUAUAGUUCCGUGAAGAGGAAAAAAAGAGAAAAAAUAAACAAAUGAAUAAAUAUUUCUAAUUAUGGAAAGCCUAGAUAAGAAACAUCUACUUAUAAGUCAAGGAAUAAAACCUGCACAUACCGACAGAGAAAUUACGAUCUCUAGAAUGUAACUAUUAUGAGUUCAUGUAUGCCCAUGCUAAACACCAAAGCUGAAGUUAACUAUUAAUAGUUUUGUCAUCAUGGAGCUGUUGUUACUAUUACACAUAUAAGCAAUUCAACUCCCAACUCUUUAGUUACUCUGACUCCAGGACCUCAAAUGCUACCCAUAGAAAAACAGCCUGGUGAAUGGCAGGAGUGACACCAUCUUGAAGUGAAACCACCACGAUGACCAAUGUUUGACUCCUGCAUACAAAGGUGUUCCCAUAGCAUUGAUAACUCCUUCUAAGGAUGCUUAUCCAAUCCCCAGUAGUCAUCAGUUUUGCAAGAAGUCUGAGGCAUGACCAACUGCUCAUAUUUUACCAAAAUAGCUUGCUAUAUUAAGGAUAUUUUCUGGAGGGUUGGUGUGGGGAUCCAUGGUCUCAUGGCUACCUGUGACAUCAGUUCUGUUCAUAAGUUCCUAUUAAAUGUCUCUUUUUGAGAAA